This 3077-nucleotide long non-coding RNA is filed under the name Sus scrofa (pig). RNAcentral describes it as "lncRNA (ENSSSCG00000052326.1)". Lineage: Eukaryota; Metazoa; Chordata; Mammalia; Artiodactyla; Suidae. The record is from RNAcentral.
GGCUCACUGGAAAGAACCUGACUGGUACCCAUGAGGACUCAGGUUGGACCCCUGGCCUCGCUCAGUGGGUUAAGGAUCCAGCGUUGCCGUGAGCUGUGCUGUAGGUGGCAGACGAGGCUCGGAUCUGGUGUUGCUGUGGCUGGGGUGUAAACCAGCAGCUGUAGCUUGAGAACUUUCAUAUGCAGCAGGUGCAGCAAAAAAAAAAAAAAAAAAAAGCCGAAAAAGAUACAUGUACCCCUAUAUUCACUAUUCAUAAUAGCCAAGACGUGGAAACAAACUUAAAUAUCCAUUGACAGAUAAAUGGAUAAAGAAGAUGUGGUCCAUAUACACAAUGGAAUACUACUCAGCCACAAAAAAGAACAAAAUAAUGCCAUUUAUAACCAUAUGGAUGAAACUAGAAAUUCUGUAAGUGAAGUCAGUCAGAAAGAGAAAGACAAAUACCAUAUGAUAUCAAUUCUAUGUGGCAUCUAAAAUAUGGCACCAAUGAUCCUCUCUGCAGAACAGAAACAGAUUCACAGACACGGAGAACAGACUUGGGUUGCCAAGGAGGAGGGGGAGGGAGUGGGCUGGAUGGGGCGUUUGGGGUCCGUAGAUGCAAACUGCGACACUGAGAAUGGAUCAGCCAUGAGGUGCUGCUGUCCAGCACAGGGAACUCUGUCCAGUCUCUUGGGAUGGACCAGGAUUGGAAGAGAAUACGAGAAAGGCAAUGGAUAUACCCUAUGACGGGGUCACUUUGCUGGACAGCAGAAAUGGACACAGGAGACAGGCCUCGGAAGGGACCAGCCCUGCCCACACCUGGACCUCGGAUUCCGGUCUGCAGGACAAGGCGAAAUCCAGUCUGUCGUUUCGAGCUGCCCAGUUGGCGGAAUCUUGUUAUGGGAGCCCCAGAGCCGAGACAAGAGGUCUUUUCCUGCAAAGUGAGGUGCAGGGAUCUGCAGCCACAAAGUCUCCCAGGAGCUGGUGAAACGUGCCCCGUCCUGGACCCACCUAAGCCUGACACAGAAAUGUCUCUGUGUCCCUUGUGUGCCAAGGGAUCGCUCUAGGAAGGCUGGUUUAGGACACGCCAUCCAAUGAAGCCUCGCAAGACAGUCGGCAGAGUUUUUCUCAAGGGUUCGUUCCGCAGCAGACGUCUUGCCUUUUUUUUUCAGGUCACAAUGUCGUCCUCCGUUGUGACCCGGUAUUUCUCUUCCUGGGGACUCCGGGAGCUGGUGCAGAGGGCCUCCACCUGCGAUGUGCCAGAAGGGCCCUUGGGGGUCCGGGACCCCUGGUGGACCUUCUGGGGCGAGGCUGGGCGGCUCUCAGGGGCUGAGGUCAAGGAGGAGUCGCGGGGCGUGUCCAUCACCCACUGUCUGGACGUUCACCUUGAGCUGUGCAGGGUGAGAGCUGAGCUGUCUUUGAGAAGAGCCCUGCCAUCCUGCUGGAAACCGAAACAUCAGGAGAAACUAGAAACUCUGGGUUUGCUCAUCCAGCUGUUCCAGGAGGAGGAGUUUGAACCCCGCCAACCACACACCAGACCUGCUGAGAGCAAUUCCCCCUUGAGCUCUCCCAAACCUGAGCUGCUUCCCCGGGCAAAUGCUUUCCUUUCUCCGCUCCGAGACUCUCACCAUUCUGGGAAAGAGACGCCAUCCUAUGCUUUCUGGACACAUGCAUGUAUUUUUAAAUUAUAUGUUUGUUAAAGACAGUCGAACCAGAGGCAAAGGGGGAACUUGGAAUGUGCCUGGAAGGAAGUCAGGAUUUGUUUUCUGGGAGUUGCUGCUCCAGCUCGGUUGCAAUCCCUCGGUGCAAGGCCUCAAAAGCAAGAUGGUCCUGCAGAUGGAUGGCUCACGAAGUGGCUUAAUCUGUGACAGCUGAGCCCGGGAGAAUGAGUUUAAACUAACCCACACUUCAGGGAACCCGUAAAAGCCUACAUCAAGAAAUGAAAGAGGAGUUCCAUCAUGGCACAGCGGAAACGAAUCCCACUAGGAACCAUGACGUCACGGGUUCUAUCCCUGGCCUUGCUCACUCGGUGGGUUAAGGAUCUUGUGUGGCCGUGAGCUGUGGUGUAGGUUGCAGACGCGGCUCGGAUCCCACGUUGCUGUGGCUGUGGUGUAGGCCGGCCGCUGUAGCUCCAGUUGGACCCCAGCCUGGGAACCUCCAUACGCCGUGGGUGCAGCCCUAUAAAGACAGCGAAAAAAGAAAGAAAGAAGUGAAAAACAGUUGUCUUCAAGGGCAGCUGUUCCCAAACGGGUCAGCGAUCCAAGGACACUGGUUGGAAUAAUGAAAUCUCAGAUCCUGUCUGCCUGCGAGGGGUGCCUUGUGUGUCUGAUGGACUCACUCAAGGAUAAUUAAAAUCAGCGAUGAUCUGGUCUCCUGGAAAUGGCUGUAACUGGUGCCAGGGCUUUAGACGGAAUCACAUCUUCCUUCAUCCUGCCCUGCCCCCCCCACCCCACCCCCCGCCCCAGCCCGUCUCCGAGCUAGCCUGGGGCUGAUUUUCUCCUUCAGAUGCAAGUCAGUAAGCAUUCAGGGGUUAGUCACUGGCAGCUUGGACAUGUGUCUGUUCCGUGGUCCCCGUGGAGGCGUGGUGAGUGGGUGGGCUUUUUUUCUCUUGCAAAGUAUCAGCCUCGGUGCUGUGUUAGCAAGAGUCCAAAAUAGCUCUUCUGUUUGCUUUGGGGAAAAAAAAAUAAUAAUUAAAAAAAUAAAGCCCUUUGUCUGUUGGCUGGUGGGUCCGAAAGGCAGACUCCACUCAGGAGCAUCUUCGAGUCUUGGCAUCUUGUAGUUUUUGCCCUGGAGGUGCAUGGUGUCUAGAGAGAUAACAGCAUUCCUCCAAACGCCACUAGGGUGGUUUUAAAAAAUCCCUCCGGAGUUCCCGUCAUUGUGGUGCAGUGGAAACGAAUCCGACUAGGAACCAUGAGGUUGCAGGUUCGAUCCCUGGCCUCGCUCCAUGGGUUAAGGAUCUAGCAUUGCCGUGAGCUGUGGUGUAGGUCGCAGAUGUGGCUCGAUCUGGCGUUGCUGUGGUUCUGAUGUAGGCUGGCAGCUACAGCUCCGAUUAGACCCGUAGCCUGGGAAACCCCAUAUGCCAUGGGUGGGGCCCUAAAAAG